GAGGCAGAAGCGAAAUUUAGCAAUUAAGUUUGCAAUGACAAAUGCUUUUCGAAGUUUUAAAGCAUUAAGUGGACAAUCUAGGGGAAGUAAAUUGACAUGGCAUUUGGGACAGUGUCCUCAACAAUUGGGUGGACGUGAGUGUGGCUACUACGUCAUGCGUUAUAUGUACGAAAUACUU
Chenopodium quinoa (quinoa) is the source of this 178-nucleotide long non-coding RNA. RefSeq lists it as uncharacterized. The transcript is spliced from 3 exons. Lineage: Eukaryota; Viridiplantae; Streptophyta; Magnoliopsida; Caryophyllales; Amaranthaceae. The record is from RefSeq and is a predicted model, not a curated record.